UACGAAGGGAGCUAGCGUUGUUCGGAAUUACUGGGCGUAAAGGGCGCGUAGGCGGCUUCGCGAGUUGGGCGUGAAAUGCCUGGGCUUAACCCAGGAAUUGCGCCCAAUACUUCGAGGCUCGAGUGUGGGAGAGGAUAGUGGAAUUCCCAGUGUAGAGGUGAAAUUCGUAGAUAUUGGGAAGAACACCAGCGGCGAAGGCGGCUAUCUGGACCACAACUGACGCUGAGGCGCGAAAGCGUGGGGAGCAAACAGG
RNAcentral lists this ribosomal RNA (253 nucleotides) under uncultured bacterium. RNAcentral describes it as "partial 16S ribosomal RNA". It matches the Rfam family "Bacterial small subunit ribosomal RNA", at positions 524 to 776 of the family's 1533-position model. The record is from RNAcentral.